This is a long non-coding RNA of Scophthalmus maximus (turbot), 814 nucleotides long. RefSeq lists it as uncharacterized. The record is from RefSeq and is a predicted model, not a curated record. Lineage: Eukaryota; Metazoa; Chordata; Actinopteri; Pleuronectiformes; Scophthalmidae. The transcript has 4 exons.
CUACAGUGUUUUACAUUUCACAAACGUUUAACAAAAAACAAAUUUUAUUGGUUCUAGUAACAGAAGUCACAUUUUGCAAAUACUUCCUUGUUUGUCACCCCCCUAUGCUAACACAUAGUACUUUUGGUUACUACUCUUUACACACAAUGGUCCAUGCUAGAUCAGUGUUUACAAAACAUGUGUCUGGCCUGUCGACAAUGAUAAGAAUAACAUAUUGUACAAUACUACUUUGAGAAAUAUGAAAAAGAAUAACUAGAAUAUGUAUCACAUGUGGCGGCUCUAUUUGCCACGUACGUGUAAUGAUAUGCGCAUUUUUGGGCCGAUAAAAACAGAGUAAGUUGAACAUGUCUGUGUUUUGCUAGCAGGCUCGGCUAGCAGGAGCUGUGUCAUUCCCACCUUGUCGUCCUUCUUGCCUCCGCCCGGACCGUGGCCUCCACUCUGGCUUUGACCCUGGAAGAAUAUCGGACGCACGUUAUCAAAGCCUAAAUGAAGGCGCAGACGAAGGUGCGCACGUCGCCACGUCGGAACCUCGACGUUCCACCGAAGGAGUCAGACCUUCAACCAAGCAGGUCGAGGUGUGUGGGUGAAGGAGGAGGCCGAGGAGCGGGGCAGCAGGGCCGGAGGUGUUGUCAGCUGUUAUCCCGGUCUCAGUGAGAGCAAGGAAGUCUAGGGACCGCGGGGAGGCGUAUCCAGAGAUGAACCCGGCCUUGCAGGUUUGGACUGCGGCCACCAAUGUCACCAAUAACAGCCAUACUCCAGACUGAAUGAAAAUAUACCGGACAACUUUAAGUGAGUAAAUCACCGAAUCCGAAAC